CCUACGGGAGGCAGCAGUGGGGAAUUUUGGACAAUGGGCGCAAGCCUGAUCCAGCAAUGCCGCGUGAGUGAAGAAGGCCUUCGGGUUGUAAAGCUCUUUUGUCAGGGAAGAAACGGUGGAGGUUAAUACCUUCUGCUAAUGACGGUACCUGAAGAAUAAGCACCGGCUAACUACGUGCCAGCAGCCGCGGUAAUACGUAGGGUGCAAGCGUUAAUCGGAAUUACUGGGCGUAAAGCGUGCGCAGGCGGUUGUGCAAGACAGAUGUGAAAUCCCCGGGCUCAACCUGGGAAUUGCAUUUGUGACUGCACGGCUAGAGUGUGUCAGAGGGGGGUAGAAUUCCACGUGUAGCAGUGAAAUGCGUAGAGAUGUGGAGGAAUACCGAUGGCGAAGGCAGCCCCCUGGGAUAACACUGACGCUCAUGCACGAAAGCGUGGGGAGCAAACAGGAUUAGAUACCCUGGUAGUCCACGCCCUAAACGAUGUCUACUAGUUGUCGGGUCUUAAUUGACUUGGUAACGCAGCUAACGCGUGAAGUAGACCGCCUGGGGAGUACGGGUCGCGAAGAUUAAAACGUCAAAGGAAUUGACGG
This 588-nucleotide ribosomal RNA is filed under the name uncultured bacterium. Its description in RNAcentral is "bacterial SSU rRNA". It matches the Rfam family "Bacterial small subunit ribosomal RNA", at positions 338 to 916 of the family's 1533-position model. The record is from RNAcentral.